RNAcentral lists this ribosomal RNA (744 nucleotides) under uncultured bacterium. RNAcentral's name for it is "bacterial SSU rRNA". It matches the Rfam family "Bacterial small subunit ribosomal RNA", at positions 8 to 796 of the family's 1533-position model. The record is from RNAcentral.
AGAGUUUGAUCCUGGCUCAGAACGAACGCUGGCGGCAUGCCUAACACAUGCAAGUCGAACGCGUGUAGCAAUACACGAGUGGCGCACGGGUGAGUAACGCGUGGGAACCUGCCCUGGAGUGGGGGAUAACCCGGCGAAAGCCGGGCUAAUACCGCAUACGACCUUCGGGUGAAAGAUUUAUCGCUCUGGGAGGGGCCCGCGUCGGAUUAGCUAGUUGGUGAGGUAACGGCUCACCAAGGCGAUGAUCCGUAGCUGGUCUGAGAGGAUGAUCAGCCACACUGGGACUGAGACACGGCCCAGACUCCUACGGGAGGCAGCAGUGGGGAAUAUUGGACAAUGGGGGCAACCCUGAUCCAGCAAUGCCGCGUGAGUGAUGAAGGCCUUAGGGUUGUAAAGCUCUUUCGGCGGGGACGAUGAUGACGGUACCCGCAGAAGAAGCCCCGGCUAACUUCGUGCCAGCAGCCGCGGUAAUACGAAGGGGGCGAGCGUUGUUCGGAAUUACUGGGCGUAAAGGGCGCGCAGGCGGCCUGAGAAGACAGAUGUGAAAGCCCCGGGCUCAACCUGGGAAUAGCAUUUGAUACUCUGAGGCUGGAGUGCGGGAGAGGAGAGUGGAAUUCCCAGUGUAGAGGUGAAAUUCGUAGAUAUUGGGAAGAACACCGGUGGCGAAGGCGGCUCUCUGGACCGUAACUGACGCUGAGGCGCGAAAGCGUGGGGAGCAAACAGGAUUAGAUACCCUAGUAGUCC